This 633-nucleotide ribosomal RNA is filed under the name uncultured Actinomycetes bacterium. RNAcentral describes it as "bacterial SSU rRNA". It matches the Rfam family "Bacterial small subunit ribosomal RNA", at positions 229 to 872 of the family's 1533-position model. Lineage: Bacteria; Bacillati; Actinomycetota; Actinomycetes. The record is from RNAcentral.
AUUCGCGGCCUAUCAGCUUGUUGGUGAGGUAACGGCUCACCAAGGCGACGACGGGUAGCCGGCCUGAGAGGGUGACCGGCCACACUGGGACUGAGACACGGCCCAGACUCCUACGGGAGGCAGCAGUGGGGAAUAUUGCACAAUGGGCGCAAGCCUGAUGCAGCAACGCCGCGUGAGGGACGACGGCCUUCGGGUUGUAAACCUCUUUUAGUAGGGAAGAAGCGAAAGUGACGGUACCUGCAGAAAAAGCACCGGCUAACUACGUGCCAGCAGCCGCGGUAAUACGUAGGGUGCAAGCGUUGUCCGGAAUUAUUGGGCGUAAAGAGCUCGUAGGCGGUCUGUCGCGUCUGCUGUGAAAACCCGAGGCUCAACCUCGGGCCUGCAGUGGGUACGGGCAGACUAGAGUGCGGUAGGGGAGAUUGGAAUUCCUGGUGUAGCGGUGGAAUGCGCAGAUAUCAGGAGGAACACCGAUGGCGAAGGCAGAUCUCUGGGCCGUAACUGACGCUGAGGAGCGAAAGCGUGGGGAGCGAACAGGAUUAGAUACCCUGGUAGUCCACGCCGUAAACGUUGGGCGCUAGAUGUGGGGACCAUUCCACGGUUUCCGUGUCGCAGCUAACGCAUUAAGCGCCCCGC